CUACGGGUCGCUGCAGUGGGGAAUAUUGGACAAUGGGCGCAAGCCUGAUCCAGCAAUGCCGCGUGAGUGAAGACGGCCUUAGGGUUGUAAAACUCUUUCGCUAGGGAAGAUAAUGACUGUACCUAGUAAAGAAGUCCCGGCUAACUCCGUGCCAGCAGCCGCGGUAAUACGGAGGGGACUAGCGCUGUUCGGAAUUACUGGGCGUAAAGAGUUCGUAGGCGGACUGACAAGUUAGAGGUGAAAUCCCAGGGCUCAACCCUGGAACUGCCUUCAAAACUGUCAGUCUAGAGACCGGAAGAGGUUAGGGGAAUACCUAGUGUAGAGGUGAAAUUCGUAGAUAUUAGGUGGAACACCAGUGGCGAAGGCGCCUAACUGGUCCGGUACUGACGCUGAGGAACGAAAGCGUGGGGAGCAAACAGGAUUAGAUACCCCCGUAGUC
Molecule: ribosomal RNA, 439 nt
Filed under: uncultured bacterium
Lineage: Bacteria
Description: partial 16S ribosomal RNA
Rfam family: Bacterial small subunit ribosomal RNA
Source: RNAcentral